AUCACCUGGGGAUCUUGUUAAAAUGCAGCCUCUGAUUUGGGAGGUCCGGGGUGGGCACAGAGAUGCACCAUUUCUAACGAGCUCCCAGGUGAUGCUGA
RNAcentral lists this microRNA precursor (98 nucleotides) under Bos taurus (domestic cattle). Its description in RNAcentral is "mir-544 microRNA precursor family". It matches the Rfam family "mir-544 microRNA precursor family". RNAcentral also lists the same sequence under 4 other names. The record is from Rfam by way of RNAcentral. Lineage: Eukaryota; Metazoa; Chordata; Mammalia; Artiodactyla; Bovidae.